GGAACAUAUCUCAAAUCCAAUAAACAAAACUUAAUGUUCGUCCAUAAUAAUGAUUACAAGCAUUACUCUCAUAAUUCCAGAAUAUGAAAAUUACUCACUCAUGGUGAGUUCAGCAAACAUGAUAAAAAUAAAAUAAGGGACAACAAAAAUCCUCUAAAAGAAAUCGAACGAAAAAAACGAAGAGGAUUUGCAGCUUUGAUCAUGUGAAACUUCAGCUGAAGGCUCCUCCUUGAUACUGAUACACUACUCUUCUAGGUGGCUAUGGGAAAAUGAUGAAGGUGUUAUCGUUCGGCUCUAGAUCCCCCUUUUUGCUCUCUGCUACUUCUAUUUAUAUUCAAUGCCUAGGGUUAGGUUUUUAGAGUCCCCGCAGCAUUAGAAGUCUUUUCUCUCUAUUAAAAACCGGAGCUAGAGCUAAAUCAGGAAACUGGCUAUCAGCUGAUACACGGCUUAGGGCCGUGUAAUUCAUUGGAGCUUCAAAGAUUGCAUCUCAUAUUGGCACAGGAGAUUACAGGGGGCAUUGCUAAUUACACGGGUCCAAAUACACGACUCGUGUUCUUUUGCUCUUCAGAGAAUUCUUCAAUUCGGGCCAAGCAGAGACUUACACGGGUCUUCAUGGUUUACACGGGUUGGGGUACGCGGCCCGUAUACUUCGUUUCUUCCUUGGCUCUUUAGUUUUCUCCUGGCAGUAUGUUACACAGGUCUGUGGCUUUGCUUACACGACCCGUGUAAAGUGUAUCAGCAACACUUCUCUUUCCUUUGAUCUUUCGAAGCUUUCUUUUGCACUCCUAUGCCUUAGAACUUCAUCCAAACACCUGAAAUGAUACAGAAAACAUGGAAUUUAGAUUUUGUUAAUGAAAAUCACAAAAGUUAAUGAAAUUAAUAACUAUGCAUAAAAUUAUCUAGAUAAUACAAGUCCAUCAGUAUCCUCCCUCAUCUUCUCAUGGUACGUAUGGAAUCCCCAUCUCUCUUAUCAAGUGCUUCCACUUCAAGACAUAGAUGCUAUAGGUAAUACAUUCUGAUGUAUGUUGUGGCAACUCAGGAUUAUAUUGGCAGUUGGAUUCUCCAUGUUGAUUAUAGGGGCAAUGUCAAACUCAAAAUCCAGGAAGUCAUGCGAGUUAUCCCACCAUCUAGUGCUCUCUAUGUGAGGUAUUCUACGUUUCAUUCAUGUACUCUUCAUAGUUGGCUAUUAUGUACCUGCCACUGCUGCAGCCUAAGACGAAAUGGCAAAGAGCCCAUGCUUAAGCAAGUUCUCAUUCAUUUACCCCAUUUUUUCCCGCUUGUUCCCAUGUUGCCUGAUUUGUUUUGUAACACUAAAAUCAUUGUGUAGAAAGGCAGUAUGCCUCAGACACAUUUGCUAAUUAAAUCAGCCAGUAGAGUAUUUUAUGAAAGAUAAAAACAUGGCACGGGCAAAUGUGAAUGAAAUCCCUAUUCAUUUCUGAAUUUGUCGAAGAACAUCAAAUCAGGAAACGGUGAGCACUAAAAAAUGGGUUCUGAAAAAACUAAUACAAAGAGGAAAAGAGUAACCAGAAACCUACUAUUUGCUAAAGGUAUGAGACUGCUUCUUCAAAGAGAAAAAAAGGGUACAUGAAAAUCUUUAGUUGUCAUCAUCAGCAGGGCCGUUGGGGGCCAGGACCAGUUCUCUUAGGCAAUAACAUGUUGUGAAUGUUAGGCAACACACCGCCAUUAGCAAUGGUAACAGAACCAAGCAGCUUGCUCAGUUCCUCAUCAUUGCUGAUCGCCAACUGAAUGUCUUGGCACAACUCGGUUCUUUUUGUUGUCCCUUGCUGCGUUCCCAGCCAACUCCAACACCUGCACCCGCCAAUUAAUUCCGAAUUCACAAUACCAUAUAUCAGUACAACAGUACCCAAAAGAAACCCCUAAUCCCUGCUAAUUUUCAUACUAAUGACUACUGUUAUCUCAAAAGAAACCCAAGUAAAGAUUGAACUCUUUCCAAGAGACCAAACAUACAAGCAGGCAGGAACCAUGGGGAGAGGUUCAUAGAGCUGAUAAUCCAAGUAAAAUUAUAACCUAGAAAGCAUACUGAUUAGCUUCAUGUCUCCAGCUUUGGUGAACUCAGUUCCACAGUGAUACAUCUACUCAUCUUGCCAUUACAACCACCUUUUGAAUAAAGGUAACAUAACAAAAGCUUCUAACAUGAACAGGAUCUCUGUACAACAAAAUUUCAGGCAUAUCACUCAAAUCCCAGCCCCUCCACCCCCCCUCUCUCCUCUUCUUCUAUCAUUCAGGAUCUAUUUGAGCUGCUGUCAAAAAAAAAAAAUCACCAUUUUAAAAAUGUUUAUUAAAGACCUUAAAAUUUUGGUUUUAAUUUAAAUUUAAUAUAUUUUAGCUAUAAAAACUUCAAAACAGUAAAACAUCUUUUUCAAACUGCUUUUUUUCAACAUCUAAAACCAACAUGACACAAUCAACACAAACAAUCAAGUCACAACAAAAAAUUAUGGCUCAAAUCAAUCGAUCAAAUAUUCACCACCUCAAGGUAAUAUAUAUCUUCAAACAAUUGAUAGACAAUUGAUGACAAAAACGCUAAAGUUUAAAGAAAAAACAGAUAAUAGGAGAAAUGAAAUUCUCAAAUCUGGAAAGAGCAUCUAAAGUAAUUAAAAACAAGGAUUACAAUAAAUUCCUCCAACCUAUAAUGGCAAAUUCCUGAGUUUGGUGUUAUGCAAACGUUGAGAAAGGAUAGAGAGGGAAAGUAAAUAGUUCAGCACAUAGUUUAGCUAACUCUAGAGCACAUAACAUUUUAAGAUGUAGCCACCUUGUCACCUGACCAAGUUAGCAACCUAUACAAAAUAAUAAGUUCCAUUACAUAUGGUAAAAGAUAUGGUGGCUAUCAAUUCUCUAAUAUAUAUGAAAAUAGCUUGGAUACAAUAAAAUAU
RNAcentral lists this unclassified non-coding RNA (2891 nucleotides) under Hevea brasiliensis (rubber tree). The record is from RNAcentral. Lineage: Eukaryota; Viridiplantae; Streptophyta; Magnoliopsida; Malpighiales; Euphorbiaceae.